UACAGAGGUGGCAAGCGUUGUUCGGAAUUACUGGGCGUAAAGGGCGCGUAGGCGGCCAUCUAAGUCAGACGUGAAAUCCCCCGGCUUAACCGGGGAACGGCGUCCGAUACUGGAUGGCUUGAGUUUGGGAGAGGGAUGCGGAAUUCCAGGUGUAGCGGUGAAAUGCGUAGAUAUCGGGAGGAACACCAGAGGCGAAGGCGGGUUACUGGGCUGAUACUGACGCUGAUGCGCGGAAGCUAGGGGAGCAAACGGG
This 253-nucleotide ribosomal RNA is filed under the name uncultured bacterium. RNAcentral's name for it is "partial 16S ribosomal RNA". It matches the Rfam family "Bacterial small subunit ribosomal RNA", at positions 524 to 776 of the family's 1533-position model. The record is from RNAcentral.